UACGUAGGGUGCGAGCGUUAAUCGGAAUUACUGGGCGUAAAGCGUGCGCAGGCGGUUCGCUGUGUCCGAUGUGAAAGCCCCGGGCUUAACCUGGGAAUGGCAUUGGAAACUGGCGGGCUUGAGUGUGGCAGAGGGGGGUGGAAUUCCGCGUGUAGCAGUGAAAUGCGUAGAGAUGCGGAGGAACACCGAUGGCGAAGGCAGCCCCCCUGGGCUAACACUGACGCUCAUGCACGAAAGCGUGGGGAGCAAACAGG
Molecule: ribosomal RNA, 254 nt
Filed under: uncultured bacterium
Lineage: Bacteria
Description: partial 16S ribosomal RNA
Rfam family: Bacterial small subunit ribosomal RNA
Source: RNAcentral